Cervus elaphus (red deer) is the source of this 5862-nucleotide long non-coding RNA. RefSeq lists it as uncharacterized. The record is from RefSeq and is a predicted model, not a curated record. The transcript is spliced from 4 exons. NCBI's taxonomy places the organism in Eukaryota, Metazoa, Chordata, Mammalia, Artiodactyla, Cervidae.
GUGCGCUCUCCUCUUAUCCCCUCUCUGGGAGCCGCGAAGCCGGAGCAGGGCUCCUGGGGGGUGGGGGCGUGGGAAAUGUUCGCAGCUUGCCAAAGCGAGCGCAAACUCCACGGAGAUUCCGGGCUCGGAAGGCUAGCUGCUGGGUACUUCCUAGGGAGACUGCCUGGCUGGGGCGCUCAGGGUCUAGAAACUAGACUAUGGCCUGGAAGUCCAGGGUUCUAGACCGGAUUCAGUGGUCUGUUUUCCCGCGGGGACGUCCAACAGAUCCCUGCCCUCUGUGGACCUCUGUUUCCCCCAUCUGCCAGCCGAGGUCUUCCCACUGGGACGCCCACCCUGGGAACCCAGCCACCAUGUUGUGAGGAAGCACAAGCCGCACGGCGGAGGUGACAUGAGGUGACCUGGCCGGUAUCUUCAGCUCAGCUCAGCUUGGCUCUCGGGUAACAGCCGGCCUCAACCACCAGACAGUGGUGAACUGAGCCAAUUCCGGCCCCAGCCUUUGAGUCUUCCAACUGGUCCCAGAUGUGGAGCAGAGACAAGCCAUCCUCACGGUGCCCCGUCUGAAUUUCUCUCCCACAAAAACUGGAAGAUAAGAAGUGAUCAUUGGUGUUUUAAGCCACUUCGUCCAUUAAAUACAAAGGAAACACUGCAGUGGAACUGGAUGAUCAUUGAAUUGGUGAACAAUACUGACCCAGGGCGCGCUGCCUCUGGGGGGAUCAGGAUGAAGACAAGCUUCAGGUUGAAGAUUGAGCAUCAUCUCCUUAAAACGCAGGUCUGUACUUCUCAGUAUUUCAUUUGGAGGUCUUUGCAAAUCUAAAUUUGAGCGACUACACGUGUGAGAGACCCGGGAAACAGCCCUCUGGAGCACCCUGUGAUCCUCCAAAAGGGCGCCUCGAGGCCUCAGAUGCCACAAUUUCAUGAUUAGUCCCUCGUUUCAUUUCUUCCUGUCUGAUUUCUCCUUCCCCUCCAAUCCCUGCGUCCCACUUCUCCCAAACCCUCCAUUCUCUUAUGAUCCGUUCUUCCCCUCCCCUUCCUUCCUUCCUUCCUCCUUUUGAAAGUUUGGUCCUCUUGGGCAUUAGAAAGGACUGGAAUCUGGGAUCUGACUAGAGGCUGGCAAGGAAGAGGGGAGCGUGCACCUGUGGGGUCACACAGGGGUCACAUCCGCUCCUGCCUGGGAAGGCGGAACUGAGGCUUCCCUGCCCAGGGGGCUGGGGGGGCAGGCCUCCCCCCAUCCCCUCUGUUCCCAGUUCCUGGACGUGGUUGCUGUUGUUGUUCAGUUGCUGAGUCUUGUCCGACUCUUUGCAACCCCGUGGACUGCAGCCUGCCAGGCUCCCGUGUCCUUCGCUAUCUCUGCAGUUUGCUCAGAUUCAUGUCCGUUGAGUCAGUGAUGCUGUUCUAGCUGGAUGUGGUGACACCCAGCAAACACUGACAUGAUAAAAGCACCAACAGCGUCCGCUAUCCCAGCAUCAUUUCUCCAGGAUCGCUCUUUGUCGAGGAGUUCUUUAACGACCUCCGCGCGGGAAGCAUCUUUUUCUUUUUCCUAUGACCAGAGUGUACUGCAGGGUGGGUGGCCUCUGUUUCUGGAGUGGCCACCAUCCCCAGUGCUGAUCAAGAGUUUGGUUAGUCGAGGCUGAGAGCAGAGACAGUGUCUUCUUGUUCCCGAUUUGGGGUGAAAUCCUGGAACUCCUUGGCCCUGAGUGUCUGUCCCUCUGUCUGCAGCACCAACUCUCUGUACCACCAUUAAAAAAAAAAUCUCAGAGUCUUACGGAAGCAAGACCCUAACAGUGCCAGGGCAUCUGGUCCUCGGUAUUGGUCCCCCCGGCCCUCCUGAGCUGCCCGUCAGUCUCGUCCACAUGGCCCUGGAGAGGAGGGAAUUCUCUGCUGCUUUGUAUCUCAAAGCCCCCUGGGGCCCUGUCCACACAGGCACUCCCUCCCGGGGCUCUGCUGUGGGCAUCCCGGGGGCUUUGCCCCACACCAGGGCACCGAUACCCCCUUGCUUUCUCCUCCGACCCCAGCCCAGGCAGCGCCUUUCCUGGACUUUUCAGUCAUUGCCUACAGGCUUCUGUUCUUCCCAAGUGUUUAGACUUGGGGGGUUGGAAGGGGAAGUGCUCACAGACAGGUCUUAGCUUCUUCCCCUGUCACUCCUCUCUUGAGAAGAAAAGAACGCAGCAUUCAGGAUUUGCCUAAAAGAGGAAGUGGGCAAAGGGAAUAAAUAUCUCAAAAAUGUGACCCUGCUUCUGAGCACUCGUCACACACGACAGAGCCCAGCCUGCAGGAGGUGGUUGUUGAAAAACGAAUGAGUGAGAGAACGAAUGAAUGCUGGGCGCCUGGCCUAGAGCUGCAGCUUCAAAUGCACACCCCAGCCCCUGGCUGACCUGUGUCUGUGUGUCCCAGUGACCUCAUCCAAAAGGAAGGAUGGGCUUAGAUCAUCUCCUGGAUUCCUUCCAGCCCUCUAAACUCUAGAUUUGGUGUCCACAAAGGAAAAAAAAAAAAUGCCAUUGUCCCCCUGAGCUUGACCAGGGCAGAAAGUUUCCUGAGUAAUUCAGGCUCAUGCACACAGUUGCCUCCAAAUAUUUUCCCCUUCUCUCAAAUGCCAUCUCCUCGAAAUCAUCAAGACAAGCUGUUGAGAAGGCAACAUUGUAAGUUUGUUGCUUACAGUGAUGGGGAGAACCACACCCAGAGCAGGAGGACGAGUUGUGGGAUUUACUGAGACUUUGAAGACUAGCUUUAGGUGACUCUUUCAAUGUAGAGGGCCCAUGUUUGAUCAGGAUUACAAAGAACUGUGAUUUAAUAUUUGUGCCGACUAAAAAAGAUGCAUAACAUGAGAGCUGCAGGUUAAGUUUUAUUUGGAACGAUUUCUCAGAGCUGUCAAUAUGGUAAUUUUCAAACCAAGCUAAAAACCAUGAUUCUCAUACAAAUAUAAAUGAAUAUAUGUUAAUAAUAAUAAAUAUAAAUGAAUAUAUGAAUGUAUGUCUUUAGCUCAUUAUUAAUGAGAGCUGGUGAAAUGUCACAACCUGUUCAAAUGAGAAGUCAAACACAAAUAUGUAUGGAGUAAAGGAAUGUUGAAAUAUGUUUACAAAUAGAUGGAAAUUGGCUUUUUUUCCUCUGGGGAAUUGAGAGGGAAGUCAAUUGAACUUCCAUAGGGCAGAUUUUAUUUGUAUGUCCAUAAACAAGACUUAUUUGCAUUGCUAUCACUUACCUCCAAUUUACAGAGUUGUAAAAUAGCUCAGAGGCCGUGAAAGGGCCCAUAGCAUCACAGUCAGGUAACCUGGAAGAGGGUGCUCUAAACGAUACAUAGUUUUCCACUGAAGCACAUUUUUUUCCCCCCUAUACAAUAGUUAUAAAGCACUUGUUAUUUGCAAGAAGUUAUUGAAUACAUUGGAAUGGAUAGUCUACUUAGGGAUUUAAGGCACAAAACCCUGAGCUAUAUCUUUUCUGCAUUCUGAUCUGUGACAUGUUGACUAUAGUUCCUCCAAGUGACACACAAUAUUUACAAAUUGGGCUCAUCAUAAAGUUUCCCCCUGGGGAAAAACAAAAGCUUCCGCUGCUCUAAAAAAAAAAAGUUUGAAAACAUGGACCCUUGUCCAACGACUGCACUUUUAUCGAAGAGAAAGUUAAGGUUCAGAGAACGGAAGUGACCUGCUCUAGGGCACAGAACUUAUUAACAGACCUUUGGUUGGAAGAUGGGGUUUGAGGAUCAAGAAGUGUUCCUUUUGUCAUUAGUCAGGGACACAGAGAACUCUCCUGGAAGGAAGGACUUAGGAAGUGGGCUGUGACAGAUGGUUUUCAUCUCCUGUGCUCUGGGAAAUCUGCUACCAUCCAUCUAAUUGGAUGGUGGGAGCUUCAAGCAGACUUGCAACCUGUGUUAUAUCAUUGUUUCGAAUCCCUAAUUAUACCUUGGAAUUUGGCUUAAGUGCAGCUUAGAGGAUGUUCAUUAACAGUGUCGACAGGGACACUCAGCAUUUGUAAAAUUCCUUACAGUAAUCGAAGUCUCAACGUUGUUCUGGUGCAUUAAGGAAGCAUGUUCUCUCCCAGCUGAAAGAUGACUUAAGUUCAGAGGAUGGAGACUGGCUGACCCCGAGUUGUUUUUCUAACGUUCCCACUUUGAAUUCAGAGCUUUACAAUCCUUGCUUUCAUGAGCCCAAGGAAGCUCCUUGCUGAAUUACAUCCAGGGCUGAAUUCGCCAAAGUUGGAGUGAUCUGCCCUUGGCAUUUUCUAACCAAUCUCAGUUUCCUCUCUCUUGGCCAUCGUGUUGUCAAAAAACCUCAUAUUCUUGUUUGCCCGACCAGUUUAUAGAGGAGCUUUGUCUCCACACAGACCGUGGUUCCAUCUGGCCCUGCCACCGAGAGCCUUGUGAUUCCAGAUGGAAAAAUCCCCAUCCAUCCCCCAGUUUCCAAAGUGGCCCCCCCCCCCCCGGAUUGUUUUAUCUACAGCCAGCAGCACAGAGCCUCCACAAACAGCCUCUGCAGGGGUGGAAAGAGCCACUAAUGAGGAAAACAGCUUUCUUCCAUCCUCAAACCCUGUGAAUGGAAAAAUUCACACAGCUGGCUGCAUUGGUUGACACGAAGUGUUUUAGGAUAAAGAAGCUGGGGAGGGCUUGCCUUUAUCAAUGUUGUUAGGAAAAGGUCUACUGGUAAGAAUAGCAGUAAUGCCAAGGAAAAUUAUAACUUUUCAUCAUGACUGUAGCUAUUCAACCAUGUGAACUCUUUUUUCCCCCCUCUCUUCAAAAGAUAUCUUUAAGGAACCCUAAGCAUUUAGCUGGAGUCUUUUGGUGGUGACCAGUUAUCUCCAUGUGUGUGUGUUUGGGAGAAUAAAAAAGAAAUGACCCGGUUUUCUUUUGACACCCUUCUCUCUCAUCCACCAACCGAGAAAGAAAGAGGGAGAGAGGAGGAGGAGGGCAGAGGAGAAGUGAUCUGAAUUUGAGGACCAAAAUUCCAGCCACCCAGAGAAUGUCUGGGUUCUCCCCUUCUCCUUUCCUUCCUUCUCUGUCUCACCACCUCCCCUGGAGGCAUCUGGGACCUCACUCUCACCACUUAUUUCCUCCCCUCUCUGCUGCAAGGGAGUCCAGAUCUUUGGUAAUCUGUUGAUCAUGUUGCAGUUUAUCUGAGCCCUGCCAGAGGGCUGGAGAGCUAGGACAGUAGAGAAAUUGCCAAGGAUAACCCUGCCUUCACAGAUUCAGCCUAUUUCCAUCCCACCCUUCAGAUGAGACCCACCCCACUCCAGAUGAGAUCCAUCCUACCCUUCAGAUGAGACCUGUUGUCCACUGUCCUCCCCACUCUCUCACCUUUAUAAAACCCCAGGCCCUUCUGCCUUUUCUCUUCGAUGUCCUUCUGCCUUCAUGAAUGACCUCCCUCUUGUAAGAGCCUGAAUAAGAUCACCUCCUUCAUUAUCCAGUGCGUUUCUUUCAGACUGUGCUGCCCAUCCUGGGAGUCUAAAAUAGAACCAUAAGCACAUUUGGAGUUAAGAAGGGGAGUGACCCUAGCUGGUCUUGGGAAAGACAUGAACAUCACCCAGUUAAUGGACUGGAGCUCCCUGAUUUUCCUCUGGGAAACCACUGCUUCCCACCCCAGCUCCAAUGGAAGGAGAUGUGAAUGAAUUACUGUUGAUCACCAGCUGACCUACCGACCACAGUGACUGGCUGAGGGAUGGGCACGUGACUCCAGUUCAUCCCAAAGACUCAUUUUUGUGGGUUUGAUUUGAUUUCUAACAACCUUCAAAAAAGAACCUCUUUUGGCUUGUGUUCUGAAUGUUAUCUCCUCUAAUCCUUGGUGAUUUUGUCCUGCGUGAUUAUCUCCAUUAUAAAGACUGUUAGUGUGAGGUUUUUCUGCUUUUGAAGGUGGUUUUCGUAUGCAGGGAAUAGUUAUG